GUCCACACAGUAAACGAUGAAUACUCGCUGUUUGCGAUAUACAGUAAGCGGCCAAGCGAAAGCAUUAAGUAUUCCACCUGGGGAGUACGCCGGCAACGGUGAAACUCAAAGGAAUUGACGGGGGCCCGCACAAGCGGAGGAACAUGUGGUUUAAUUCGAUGAUACGCGAGGAACCUUACCCGGGCUUAAAUUGCAUUUGAAUAUAUUGGAAACAGUAUAGCCGUAAGACAAAAUGUGAAGGUGCUGCAUGGUUGUCGU
RNAcentral lists this ribosomal RNA (258 nucleotides) under uncultured bacterium. Its description in RNAcentral is "partial 16S ribosomal RNA". It matches the Rfam family "Bacterial small subunit ribosomal RNA", at positions 793 to 1055 of the family's 1533-position model. The record is from RNAcentral.